RNAcentral lists this long non-coding RNA (1116 nucleotides) under Olea europaea (common olive). RNAcentral's name for it is "long non-coding RNA (OEUR_LNC007620)". Lineage: Eukaryota; Viridiplantae; Streptophyta; Magnoliopsida; Lamiales; Oleaceae. The record is from RNAcentral.
GUGAAUGUAUUUCCACAGUGUAUGAAUAGUUACAGUGAUUUUACCCGCUCUGCACUAUUGUGAAUGUGUUUCCAUAGUGUAUGAUCAGAUUAUCAGAGGUCUUUGGGACCCACUCUCGUACACGCAUAGGCUUUGGGCCGUGUACUAGGGUGAUUAGCCUUUGGGGCAGCUCUGCGUACGUAUGACCAGAUUAUCAGAUUAUCAGCUAUCAGAUUAUCAGAUUUGAAUGGCUUUGCCUUGUACAUCGAGAUUACUCUGUACAUGAGUAAGGCUAUUCAUUGGGUACUCUUUUUGGUGUGAUUUUUCAGUAUUUAUUCUAUUAUCAGAUUUCAGAUUAUGGAAUUCAGUUAAUUCAGUUUUCAGAAUAAACCUUUCAGCUUAUAGUAUUAAUGCAGCAAUAUUUCAUAAUUUUUCAUGGAUAUCAGAGUAUUUAUAGUCAUUAUGUUAUACAGUUGCCUUUUUAAAAUUAUGUCCAAGAAAUUAGGAUAUGAUCAUGUUUAGUUUUUAAAAGCGUCACUAUUUUUCAGAAGUUCUUAACGCUAAAUAGUGCAAGAAUUUUCAGAAAAUAGCAUAAAUGGAAAAGUUUAUUUAUUUUCAACUAUCCACUCACUGAGUUAUAAACUCAUAUCUUUUUACCAUGUUUUCCUAUCAGGAGAAGGUCGAUUAUGAGAUAUUUGGAAAGCCUGCUGAAGCAAAAGAGACCAUUUCCUAAGUAUGUAAUGAAUAGUUGGGAAACUUAUGUUUAUUAAGUAAUUGUCUAAUUUUGGGUGUCAAGUAUAUUUGUAGAAGGGUUUGUAAGUGAUGUAAUACUUGCAUGUUGACAGGAUGAUGUUGUAGAAGCACUCAGUCGAAUUUUGUUAUAUUUUGUAGUAGUUGUGGUGGUAUUAGAGGAAGUGGUGGUUUCCAAAGCUUUUGGUUUAAAUGUCUAUAUUGAGAUUUUGAUGAUUUUUCAGGUUGGUUUUGUCCAUAUUACAGGGGAAACUCUGUCAAAUUUUUCAUAGAUAUUAGCACAGUCAAAAUAGGUCAAGUUUGCCUUGGUGGUGGGUCCGGCAUUUAGCUGGCAUCUACUACCGGCGCACGACACGUGUCGAGUCAAUUAGGUUGAGUCGGGACGGG